CUUCAGCGAGCUCACGCUCACUAUCGGAUCGUUUUAGAAACAUUCAGGGGCCAACAGUUUCAGGAUUGUUGAGCUCCAUUGGCGGGAUUUCGCCGUCUUCGUUUCUCUUUCUUCGCGGACGAACACGCGCCAGGGGCUGAGCGCUGUGCGUCGCACCGAUGAUAAGUCGGGUGCGCGCCGGCAUGUCUCUCGUGUUAGGGGCUUGUAGCUCAGUUGGUUAGAGCGCGCGCUUGAUAAGCGUGAGGUCGGAAGUUCAAGUCUUCCCAGGCCCACCAUUUUGAUCGAGUGCGGAGCAUUCGUCUUCUGGUACGGGGCCAUAGCUCAGCUGGGAGAGCGCGUGCUUUGCAAGCAUGAGGUCGUCGGUUCGAUCCCGUCUGGCUCCACCAGAUGGAAUUGAAGCUCGAGAAUGCGCCUUGUGCAGGAAGCUCUGUUCAAAUCGUCCGCGAAACAUCACUUCGCACUCAUUGGUCCGGAUGGACGGUGACGUGCGUGUUUUCUGACAUCGUAAAGAGGAGAUCGAUCCGAGUUUGGAUCUGCGAAGCAAUUCGCGGGUACCAUUCCUAAUCUCCAGAUCGUUUUCGGCGCUCGCGCAUCGAAAUUCAUCGCAACUCACCGCAAGGUGAGUGAGAUGAGUGAGAUGAGCGAGUUGUAAAACGAUCUUUGUAGCGAAGCUUGACCGCCUCGCUAUCGGGCCGAUCUUACGAAGCAAGCUGGUCUUUCUAGUCAAUGUCCGGCUGCACAUAGCAUCUAUCGAGGGUGCGUGCCUUAACCGGCAAUUGUGCAGACAACAUUCUGCCGAGUGUGUGGACAUUGAUAAUGAGAGC
Molecule: transfer RNA, 824 nt
Filed under: Bradyrhizobium genosp. TUXTLAS-20
Lineage: Bacteria; Pseudomonadati; Pseudomonadota; Alphaproteobacteria; Hyphomicrobiales; Nitrobacteraceae
Description: partial 16S-23S ribosomal RNA intergenic spacer
Rfam family: tRNA (bases 199-272)
Source: RNAcentral